UUUUAAUCUUAAACUUAUCUUUGAGAUAUCAAGAAACGUGGGUAAAUUUCAAUACUUAAUAACCCAAUACCAGCGCUUGUAGCGGUUCUGCUGCCAGCGGCCAGAAGUUUAACCAAUCCGGCUAGAGUGACAUUCAACGGAGCAGGAAACCCUCUCACUCUUUCUAACGCACGCGUUCGCUCGCACUUGAACUUUCCCGCCUUUUCAGACGCCAUAGCUGUGGCGUGAUUGCGCAAUUUAUUAUGUCCAUGUCUUUUGUUAGAUGUCACUUCAAUCUGUCCGAUCAUUAACCAAUAAAUCAGCUAAACACGCUCAGUUGCUAAAUUUCUUUAUAAUUUCAUGUCUUUAACAAUACGAUUGUGGAUACUGCCUUUAUAUCUAUUUGAUUUGAUAAGAAUUAAAAAUAGUAAUUCUUUAUAAUUUCACGUCUUCGAUAAUAUCUUUGUGCAUUUAUACCUAUUUUAUUAUAAGUAUUAAAAGUAAUAAUAAAUCAGCAAAAUAAAAUUAUUAUUUGCUAAAUUUAAGCCUAUUCUGCUUAAAAUAUAAAGUAGUAUUACUAUACUAUUAGUAGUAUUAUUAUUUACGUUAUUGAAUUGUGAUUUUGUAUUAUAUAUUGCUUAAUAUGAUAUUUUAAUUCGUUAUUAAUCGCGAAACGCGAUUGUGCAUCCAUUUGGAGGUGAUAAAUUAAUUAGUGGUUAAUUGGUUAAAUACAUGUGGGCAUAGUAAAAUAAACUAAAGCCAAUAAAUAGCAAGAUAUGACAACUUCCUCAAACGACAUGAACUGAUGAAUUGUCAUAAAUAAUAUUAAGGCAAAUUUUUGAAGCUUAAUUUCAAAAAGGAUCAUACAGGAAUGAUAAUAAUAAUUUGCGACGUUAUAUCAUCUCCAUAAUCUGUAUGGGGUUCAGCGAUGUCAUGUGAAAAAAUCUUAGUGUGUUUAUAAUAAAAACUGAUACAUACCUAACACUAUUAAUAAAACUAUAAUUAUAACUUUAAUUAUAACUAUAACGAUAACUAUAACUAUAACUAUUAUAGUUGCUAUUACUGUUGUUAUUGCUAUUUUCUACGCAUCUCAGUUAAGUUAUAAAUCUGUAGUCCAUCUCCUAUAUUUAUAACUCAACGGUAGCAGUAACACAGUAAUUAGUAAACUAAAAAUUAAUAA
Cotesia glomerata is the source of this 1159-nucleotide long non-coding RNA. RefSeq lists it as uncharacterized. NCBI's taxonomy places the organism in Eukaryota, Metazoa, Arthropoda, Insecta, Hymenoptera, Braconidae. The transcript has 2 exons. The record is from RefSeq and is a predicted model, not a curated record.